AUGCCACCUCACCUAACAGUUAUUGGUGACACAUAGAUUGAUGAAUGUACAACUCUUGUACAAUGCUUCUCAAGCAUGUUGCAGUGUAACUUGGUCUCUAAGCCAUGAAAACCUCACCUAACAGUUAUUGGUCCCAUUUCUUAGUUAAGUCAGACCCACCGUAUAACCGUAGGAAUAAAGUCGUCAUUGGGUCCUCACCUAACAGUUAUUGGUGCCCAACCUCACCUUUACCCUACAACAUCUCAUGUCUAUAGAGAGGUCCAGCCCUCCGAUGCAACUUGACCACUGUGUCCAGCCGAGACAAAUCAACAUCAGAAAGGCCUUAGCAGCUCUACUACAGUGGAAGACCUAUUGACUUAAUAUUGGUUAAUCAGGUCUUAGUGUUUGCAACUUGAGCUCUUCAUAAGAGGUAAUCGAACAAUUGGCCAGGUAAGCAGGUGGGAGGCUCCCCUUACUCAGAGAGUAAGGUCCUAAUUAAGUAACCACCUUUCAUGCUUUCCUAAACACCAAUUAGAUCA
RNAcentral lists this long non-coding RNA (518 nucleotides) under Phoenix dactylifera (date palm). RNAcentral's name for it is "long non-coding RNA (PDAC_LNC012450)". Lineage: Eukaryota; Viridiplantae; Streptophyta; Magnoliopsida; Arecales; Arecaceae. The record is from RNAcentral.